This 313-nucleotide small nuclear RNA is filed under the name Chinchilla lanigera (long-tailed chinchilla). Its description in RNAcentral is "7SK RNA (ENSCLAG00000022079.1)". It matches the Rfam family "7SK RNA". Rfam says of the family: 7SK was discovered as an abundant small nuclear RNA in the mid-70s but a possible function has only recently been suggested. Lineage: Eukaryota; Metazoa; Chordata; Mammalia; Rodentia; Chinchillidae. The record is from Rfam by way of RNAcentral.
UGAUUUAGUUUGACAUUUUGACUUCAGAAUUUUUCAAAAGCCAGUGAUCGCUGGGGCUGGUGCGGCUGCUCUGGCUGGCUAGGCGAGUGUCUGCUUCCUCCCUCGCUGCUCCACCUGUGUCCUCCUGAAGCUGCACGCUCGGUGGGAGAGGACAGUCAUCCCCGAUCGAGGAGGAUCAUUUCUUUGGUUCAGGGUAUGAGCAGUUGCGCUGCCCCGCUAGAACCUCCGGAUGAGCUCUCAAAAGUAAUGUGAAAAGUCAUGCGUCUUUGUAUUGCUUGACAGCAGCGCGGAUUACAUGAGGUACAUUCUUGGC